UUGAGGAGGGAGCCUCAGAUAGAGGGGUGCCCCGGAAGUCAGCUUCCCUAUCACUCCAGGCAAGUUUAUCUAGUGAGACUGGAUCUUGUAAGCCAGAGGAUGUGGCAUAAUUUUAAUAACUUUAUAUAAUCUGACCAAAAAUGGGACUGUAGUGGGGUGGCUGCCCCCUUCCUAUCCUAGAUGGGGCUUCAGCAGGCCAGGGAGGCGGUACAGGUGGGCGGCCAAUCAGAGGUUGAGUUAGAGACGGCCAAUCAGAGCCAGACUCAGCCAUAUAUAAAGGCUGCCCAGGAAGGGAGUGGGGAGUUUCUCCCUGGUGGUCAAGGGAGGAGGACUGGCUCCUCUGCUGGAAGGUAGCACCUUGGACAGGGCAGUGCUGGGGAAGGUCAGAAGGAGCUGGGGAGCUCCGGCCAAGGAAAACCCCAGGCUGCCGGCCUAGGCCAGGCAGGUGCAUAGGGCCGAAGGGGAAGUGGCCCAGGGACAAUAGCAGGGUAAGGGGAGAGAAGGAGGGCAGAGAGGCUGCUGCUAGAGGGUCCCUGGGUCCCCCCCUUCCCCUUGUGCUACACCGGGCUGAAGAGGAGCGUGCCCCGAUGCAGGCUGUGGCGGGGCCCUGCGAUAAGGUGCUAGAUUUAGAGGCUGCAGCCAGCCACUACAACAGGUGCAGAUCGUGGACUGCUGAUAACACCAAACCCCCGGAAGGGGGUGAGACCGGAGCAGUGGGCACUGCCGGAGGGAAGUGUCCUGAAGAGGACACUGCCGAGCGGGGAGCAAUGAGGGUCCCCAAAGCAGCAGAGCAGACGAAGGGCAAGGCACCAUGCGAAAAGUGCUCCAUGACUGGACAGAGCUAAUUCCCGGAGCAACCAGCAGAAGGCGCCAGCGGUGGUCUGAAGAGCCCCAGUAUUGGAAGAAAAAGGACAACAUUUUCAUCUCCUACAAAUGCAACUAAAAUAAACAAGCAGUAAAUAUGAGCACGUUGCAUCAAGUCCAGAGCUGGGCUUUGCUCCCUCCCUGAUUUGGGGGAAAUAAGAAACGUAAAGGAGACUCUCGGCUUUCAUUAAAAAGGACAUUUUUUAAACCAAAGAUAGCCUUGAAAAUGUAAACCAAGCGCUAAGUUUGAAAGCACCUCACUGAUUCUUCAUAAACAGGCUUGGCAGAAUUUGAUUUAUUUUUUUUUUAAAAUGUCACUGGAUAAUAUUGAGGUUUGUGUUUUUUAAGCAUUUUUUUUCAUUUUUAUUUAAAUGAUCACAGUUGUGGAGAAUUCUGGGGAUUUGUGUCAAACAGUAAUUAUUUAAUGACAGUAGAUGUUGAGACUCAAAAAGUUAAAGCUUUAUAGCCACUAAAACACAAAUUGUCAACAUCGCAUGUCAAAAUGCACAACUGUAAAUAUCUUUAAAACACACUCUGUCCUCAAGUGGUGUUUUCUUACUUUGCCAAUCCAUAAAUUUCAGUGAUCAUUGAUGGAAA
Molecule: long non-coding RNA, 1461 nt
Organism: Chelonia mydas (Green sea turtle)
Lineage: Eukaryota; Metazoa; Chordata; Testudines; Cheloniidae
Exons: 2
Source: RefSeq, a predicted model, not a curated record